This 253-nucleotide ribosomal RNA is filed under the name uncultured bacterium. RNAcentral's name for it is "partial 16S ribosomal RNA". It matches the Rfam family "Bacterial small subunit ribosomal RNA", at positions 524 to 776 of the family's 1533-position model. The record is from RNAcentral.
UACAGAGGUCUCAAGCGUUGUUCGGAUUCAUUGGGCGUAAAGGGUGCGUAGGUGGCGCCGUAAGUGGGGUGUGAAAUUUCGGAGCUUAACUCCGAAACUGCAUUCCAUACUGCGGUGCUUGAGGACUGGAGAGGAGACUGGAAUUUACGGUGUAGCAGUGAAAUGCGUAGAGAUCGUAGGGAAGACCAGUGGCGAAGGCGGGUCUCUGGACAGUUCCUGACACUGAGGCACGAAGGCCAGGGGAGCAAACGGG